CAGCCGCCACGGGAACACGUAGGGGGCAAGCGUUAUCCGGAUUUACUGGGUGUAAAGGGAGCGCAGGCGGUGCGGCAAGUCUGAUGUGAAAGCCCGGGGCUCAACCCCGGGACUGCAUUGGAAACUGUCGUACUUGAUUAUCGGAGAGGUAAGUGGAAUUCCUAGUGUAGCGGUGAAAUGCGUAGAUAUUAGGAGGAACACCAGUGGCGAAGGCGGCUUACUGGACGAUAACUGACGCUGAGGCUCGAAAGCGUGGGGAGCAAACAGGAUUAGAUACCCGUGUAGUCCCUGUCUCUUAUAC
Molecule: ribosomal RNA, 301 nt
Filed under: uncultured bacterium
Lineage: Bacteria
Description: partial 16S ribosomal RNA
Rfam family: Bacterial small subunit ribosomal RNA
Source: RNAcentral